AUACGUAGGUGGCAAGCGUUGUCCGGAUUUAUUGGGCGUAAAGCGAGCGCAGGCGGAAUGAUAAGUCUGAUGUGAAAGCCCACGGCUCAACCGUGGAACUGCAUCGGAAACUGUCAUUCUUGAGUGCAGAAGAGGAGAGUGGAACUCCAUGUGUAGCGGUGGAAUGCGUAGAUAUAUGGAAGAACACCAGUGGCGAAGGCGGCUCUCUGGUCUGCAACUGACGCUGAGGCUCGAAAGCAUGGGUAGCGAACAGGAUUAGAUACCCUGGUAGUCCAUGCCGUAAACGAUGAGCGCUAGGUGUUGGGGACUUUCCGGUUCUCAGUGCCGCAGCAAACGCAUUAAGCGCUCCGCCUGGGGAGUACGACCGCAAGGUUGAA
Molecule: ribosomal RNA, 377 nt
Filed under: uncultured bacterium
Lineage: Bacteria
Description: bacterial SSU rRNA
Rfam family: Bacterial small subunit ribosomal RNA
Source: RNAcentral